UUGGAGGGCAAGUCUGGUGCCAGCAGCCGCGGUAAUUCCAGCUCCAAUAGCGUAUAUUAAAGUUGUUGCAGUUAAAAAGCUCGUAGUUGAAUUUCGGGACCAAUAUGUCGGUCGUGCUUCGGUACGUACUUGCAUUAUUGGUUUCUCCCUUCUGAGGAACCAUGAUGUCAUUAAUUUGGUGUCGUGGGAAAUCAGGACUGUUACUUUGAAAAAAUUAGAGUGUUUAAAGCAGGCUCGCGCUUGAAUACAUUAGCAUGGAAUAAUGAAAUAGGACGUUUGAUUCUAUUUUGUUGGUUUCUAGGAUCGACGUAAUGAUUAAUAGGGAUAGUUGGGGGCAUUAGUAUUCAAUUGUCAGAGGUGAAAUUCUUGGAUUUAUUGAAGACUAACUACUGCGAAAGCAUUUGCCAAGGAUGUUUUCAUUAAUCAAGAACGAAAGUUAGGGGAUCGAAGACGAUCAGAUACCGUCGUAGUCUUAACCAUAAACUAUGCCGACUAGGGAUCGGAUGAUGUUAUUUUUGAUGACUCAUUCGGCGCCUUACGGGAAACCAAAGUGUUUGGGUUC
Molecule: ribosomal RNA, 562 nt
Filed under: uncultured Glomeromycotina
Lineage: Eukaryota; Fungi; Glomeromycota
Description: SSU rRNA
Rfam family: Eukaryotic small subunit ribosomal RNA
Source: RNAcentral